Cucurbita maxima (winter squash) is the source of this 797-nucleotide long non-coding RNA. RefSeq lists it as uncharacterized. The transcript has 2 exons. The record is from RefSeq and is a predicted model, not a curated record. NCBI's taxonomy places the organism in Eukaryota, Viridiplantae, Streptophyta, Magnoliopsida, Cucurbitales, Cucurbitaceae.
UAGAUCCAUCGUCGUCUCUGCGAGAAUCAAGCAAUCGGAAGUGCUCCAAAUGAUGAUCAUCUCAUCCCGCCUGUGUGACCAUCAAGGGACUUGAAGGUCUUGUCAGGCGAGGAACUGACUUCAAAGGACAGUGAAGACGCGCUACGAUGUCGGAUCCAUUUGCAGGGGCGAAAGGAGGUAGGCUCACCUUCAAGGGAGGAGUCCUAGCCUCCCGUAGUAAGGCUAUUGACAAGAAGAAGAAGAAGAAGAAGAAAGGUAAAAGUAAAGGUGACGAGAACCCUACGGACGAGGGAGAGAUUUUGUCGUCAGCGGAUGGUGCAGAUGGCGGUGUCGGAGAAGUGUAUACUAUUGACGCGGCCAAGCGUAUGAAGUACGAGGAGCUCUUCCCGGUGGAGACAAAGAAGUUUGGUUACGACCCUAACAACUACAAUACCAAGUUGAAGUCUGUGGAGGAAUCUCUCGAUGACCGUGUCAAAAAGAAAGCGGAUCGUUAUUGUAAAUAAUCAGGUCACUUCUCGCGCUAUUUUCCUCUAGGCAUUGGUCAUAAUGGAACUACUUUUAUGGUAUGGUAUGGUAUGGUAAUCUAUGUAGACUCUCAUGUGCCAUUACCAUUGAAGCAAUUUUCGUUCAAGCUGAUUGUAACUACACUUCUUUUUCCCUUUAAUAGUUUUGCUCUCCCCCACUGUCUAAUAGGAGGCCAAAUUUGUACCAGCUAACAUGAGAACAUGACUGUAUCUUUAGUUAUAUAUGGACACUUUGUAGAAAGAUGGCCUUAUGGGUUAUUCCAACAAUUCACC